RNAcentral lists this ribosomal RNA (253 nucleotides) under uncultured bacterium. RNAcentral describes it as "partial 16S ribosomal RNA". It matches the Rfam family "Bacterial small subunit ribosomal RNA", at positions 524 to 776 of the family's 1533-position model. The record is from RNAcentral.
UACGUAGGGGGCUAGCGUUGUCCGGAAUCAUUGGGCGUAAAGAGCGUGUAGGCGGUCCGGUAAGUCCGCUGUGAAAGUCGGGGGCUCAACCCUCGAAUGCCGGUGGAUACUGUCGGGCUAGAGUGCGGAAGAGGCGAGUGGAAUUCCUGGUGUAGCGGUGAAGUGCGCAGAUAUCAGGAGGAACACCGAUGGCGAAGGCAGGUCUCUGGGCCAUUACUGACACUGAGAAGCGAAAGCAUGGGGAGCGAACAGG